Balaenoptera ricei (Rice's whale) is the source of this 331-nucleotide long non-coding RNA. RefSeq lists it as uncharacterized. The transcript is spliced from 3 exons. The record is from RefSeq and is a predicted model, not a curated record. NCBI's taxonomy places the organism in Eukaryota, Metazoa, Chordata, Mammalia, Artiodactyla, Balaenopteridae.
UCACAAAUACACUCUGCUGGAGAAGGACCAGCAUUUGCAAAGACACCUGAAGAGUGCAGGCGGUUCUUAGGGGAAGAUGGAUGAUCCUCUGCUGGAGUGAAGGAUAUGGAGGAAAGGAGUGAGCAUACCAAUGGCAAAUCAGCUCUCUGGAGGAAGGACCAGGGUAAGAGGCCCGUGCAGAAGCAGAUUCAGUGUGGAUUUAAGCAAGUAAUUCUGGAGUCCCAGGUGUGGAAUUGUGAUUAAGCAAUGAACUGUCCCUGCCCUCAUGGAGUUUAAAGUCUGGAGAGAAAUCAGACAUUGAGCAGGCAUUUAUGUACCAGGAAGACAACAC